This 460-nucleotide ribosomal RNA is filed under the name uncultured bacterium. RNAcentral's name for it is "partial 16S ribosomal RNA". It matches the Rfam family "Bacterial small subunit ribosomal RNA", at positions 338 to 795 of the family's 1533-position model. The record is from RNAcentral.
CCUACGGGCGGCAGCAGUGAGGAAUAUUGGUCAAUGGCCGGAAGGCUGAACCAGCCAUGCCGCGUGAAGGUCAGUGCCCUAUGGGCGUUAAACUUCUUUUGUGCGGGAGCAAUAAUGGUCACGUGUGGCCAGACGAGAGUACCGUACGAAUAAGCAUCGGCUAACUACGUGCCAGCAGCCGCGGUAAUACGGGGGAUGCAAGCAUUAUCCGGAUUUAUUGGGGUUAAAGGGUGCGUAGGCUGUGAGGUAAGUCAGCGGUGAAAUGCCCCCGCUCAACGGGGUGAAGUGCCAUUGAUACUGCCUUGCUGGAAUGCGGAUGCCGUGGGAGGAAUGUGUGGUGUAGCGGUGAAAUGCAUAGAUAUCACACAGAACACCGAUUGCGAAGGCAUCUCACGAAUCCGCGAUUGACGCUGAUGCACGAAAGCGUGGGUAUCAAACAGGAUUAGAUACCCUUGUAGUC